AGUGAACGCUGGCGGUAGGCCUAACACAUGCAAGUCGAACGGCAGCACAGUAAGAGCUUGCUCUUACGGGUGGCGAGUGGCGGACGGGUGAGGAAUACAUCGGAAUCUACCUUUUCGUGGGGGAUAACGUAGGGAAACUUACGCUAAUACCGCAUACGACCUACGGGUGAAAGCAGGGGAUCUUCGGACCUUGCGCGAUUGAAUGGGCCGAUGUCGGAUUAGCUAGUUGGCGGGGUAAAGGCCCACCAAGGCGACGAUCCGUAGCUGGUCUGAGAGGAUGAUCAGCCACACUGGAACUGAGACACGGUCCAGACUCCUACGGGAGGCAGCAGUGGGGAAUAUUGGACAAUGGGCGCAAGCCUGAUCCAGCCAUACCGCGUGGGUGAAGAAGGCCUUCGGGUUGUAAAGCCCUUUUGUUGGGAAAGAAAAGCAGCAGGUUAAUACCCCGCUGUUCCGACGGUACCCAAAGAAUAAGCACCGGCUAACUUCGUG
This 492-nucleotide ribosomal RNA is filed under the name uncultured bacterium. Its description in RNAcentral is "partial 16S ribosomal RNA". It matches the Rfam family "Bacterial small subunit ribosomal RNA", at positions 29 to 507 of the family's 1533-position model. The record is from RNAcentral.